CGGGUGCGGCAUACUUUUGCACAUAUACGUAUUAUACUUGAUUUUGCUGUUUGUCUGUGGUGAAGUGAAGUGCCAUAGUUUCUUUGUUGGUAAACAAAGCCGUAUUAAAAUAUUAAUAAAAAAAUUGUUUUCGUUGGAUCAAAGUACUUGCUACUGCUAGUUUUUUGUUUUCGAUAGAAGUAAUUAAUUAAUCAUUUUAUCGUAUACAUUUUUAUUAGUGUUAAUAGUUAAUUUAUCAAAGUAAACGGCCACUUUUACAUAAAACAUUAUCUACACGAAAGUUCUUCAAAGUUUUAUCGUCUGCCUAUGAUUAAUUUAAUGGUCGUUGUGAUAAUAUGUAAAGUAUAUUGUAUAGUGUUUUGUUUAUUAAAGUUCAUCGCUUGCAAAUAAAGAUGUCCGGGAAACUCAAUGAUCGCCUUGGCUUGGAUCAAACUUGGCGAUGGGUUGUUUUGGAGGGCCUUUGGAAAGUCAGGCUACUAAAUAAACCUUCCGUGUUCGCGUCUGCCAGUGGCGUUGUAUCAACAUGAAGAUGUGGGCUCUAAACUUUGAGUGCCAGGGACUGACUAUGGAAGUCUCCAUGUCGCUGGUCACCAUUGAUGUGCAAAACACCUUGAAAAAAUUGGUGAUUCUGAAUCCUUCAUCUCUAUGAACGAUUCAUGAAGAAAGAAUUAAACAAACAUUUAAUGAACAGAUUUUUUAUAAGAUUAUUAUCAAUAAUGACAUUGCAUAUGAGAGAAAAUUGUCAAAUAUAAUUUCAUUUUAAUUUAAUAUAGUUAAUUAUGACAUCACUGUAUAUAAAGAAUAUGAUUAUUAUCAUUUGGUUAAUUUCAGUAUUACAUAGUAUUAGAUGAAAAUUGUAUUGUAAAAUUGCACAUCAAAAUAUGUUUUAUUAUCUAUUAUUAGGAGGAAAUAUUAUUUAACUAUUAUUAUUAUCCCUAAUAGCCCAGUGAAUGUGACCUCUGCCUCCAAUUCCGGAGGGUGUGGGUUCGAACCCGUUCCGGGGCACGCACCUCCAACUUUUCUAUUGUGUGCAUUUUAAGAAACUAAAUAUCACGUGUCUCAAACAGUGAAGGAAAACAUCGUGAGGAAACCUGCAUACCAGAGAAUUCUCUUAAUUCUCUGCAUAUGUGAUGUCUGCCAAUGUAAUCCAAAUAUGCUGGCCCAUAUUCGGCUCCUGUCAGAAUGAGAGGGGUUAGGCAUUGGCCUUCCCUUACCUUAUCAGCCGAUAGACGUCCACUGCUGGACAUAGGCCUCUUACAUGGACCUCCAAGCACAACGACCUUGAGCCGCGAACAUCCAACCAACCGACCAACCACGCUUUCCAGUGCGGGGUCUCCCGAGUGCGGGUAGGCACUCGAGCUCAGCAGUGAGCCGAAUAUGUGUUUAUAAUGAUGAUGAUGAUGAUGAUGAUGAUGAUGAUGAUGAUGAUGAUGAUGAUGAUGAUGAUGAUGAUGAUGAUUAUUUAAGUAAUUGUAAAAGAAAAAAUUGAAUACUACAUUAGUUGUUUAUCUAUACAAUUCAAUAAUUUUAAGAACAAAACAUGUACCUACCACAUUGUAGGAAAUAAAUAAAUAAUGAUUUGAUUAAAAACAAUGUUGUUUAAUGUUAAGCAGGUAGGGCCAGGUAGUUCUAUAUUUGUGUAACAUCUAUUACUUAAAAAUAAAAAAUAUAUUUACUUGUG
This is a long non-coding RNA of Bicyclus anynana (squinting bush brown), 1681 nucleotides long. RefSeq lists it as uncharacterized. The transcript has 2 exons. The record is from RefSeq and is a predicted model, not a curated record. Lineage: Eukaryota; Metazoa; Arthropoda; Insecta; Lepidoptera; Nymphalidae.